UGGAGACAGGUGCUGCAUGGCUGUCGUCAGCUCGUGUCGUGAGAUGUUGGGUUAAGUCCCGCAACGAGCGCAACCCUUGUCAUUAGUUGCUACAUUCAGUUGGGCACUCUAAUGAGACUGCCGGUGACAAACCGGAGGAAGGUGGGGAUGACGUCAAGUCCUCAUGGCCCUUAUAGGUGGGGCUACACACGUCAUACAAUGGAUGGUACAAAGGGUCGCCAACCCGCGAGGGGGAGCCAAUCCCAUAAAGCCAUUCGUAGUCCGGAUCGCAGUCUGCAACUCGACUGCGUGAAGUCGGAAUCGCUAGUAAUCGUGGAUCAGAAUGUCACGGUGAAUACGUUCCCGGGUCUU
Molecule: ribosomal RNA, 351 nt
Filed under: uncultured Polaromonas sp.
Lineage: Bacteria; Pseudomonadati; Pseudomonadota; Betaproteobacteria; Burkholderiales; Comamonadaceae
Description: bacterial SSU rRNA
Rfam family: Bacterial small subunit ribosomal RNA
Source: RNAcentral